UUUUUUUUUUUUUUUUUUUUGAGGCAGAGUCUCACGCUGUCACCCCGACUGGAGUGCAGUUGCUCGAUUGUAGCUCACUGUAUCCUCAACCUCCCAAGCUCAAGUGAUCCCUCCACAUCAGCCUCCUGAUUAGCUCGGUCUAUAGGCAUGUGCCACCACACUGGGCUUUUUUUUUUUUUGAGACAGAGUCUCACGCUGUCACCCCGGCUGGAGUGCAGUUGCUCAAUUGUAGCUCACUGUAGCCUUGACCUCCCAAGCUCAAGUGAUUCUUCCACUUCAGCCUCUUGAGUAGGUGGGACUAUAGGUUCAUGCCACCACAGCUGGCUAAUUUUCUAUUUUUUGUAGAGACAGGUUUCGCUGUGUUGCCCAGGCUGGUCUUGAACUCCUGUACUCAAGUGAUCCUCCCACCUCGGCCUCCGAAAGUGCUGGGAUUACAGGCAUGAGCCAUUGUGCCUAGCGUUGAACAGCAGUUUAGAUUCACAAAAUGCUUUCAUGUGUAUUAACUCAUUAUUUUUGUUGCAUUUGUCAAUAGUUCCCUUUUUUUGGGAGGGGGGUAGUGAAGAACUAUUCAUUGGUUUAGCAAAUAUUUACAAACUAAAGUGUUUACUGUGUUAGCUUCUUGGAGCACAAUGCUUGCUAGACAUGGUUCCUGUCCUCGUGGAGUUUCAGUCUUGGAGGAGCACACCUUAAUCAAAUGAUCAAAUAAACCGAAAUAAAACUGUAGCUUUGCAGGUGCCACAGAAGAGAAAUAAAUGAUCCUCAUAGAGGAGUCAGUGAGGUCAGAAAAGGCUUCUCUGGUCUGAUGAGUAGAAGUUAACUGAGUGAAGAAGGGAGUGAGAAUAGAUACAGGCAAAGGUCCUGUGAUAUGAUGGUGCCUGGUGACUCUGCGGGGCUAGAAGAAAGGCAGUAUGGCUGCAGCAGAAAAACAAGGCUGUCUGAGGUUGGCAACGGCCCUGAACAUGCAGGUUCUUGCAGGUAGAGGGGCCAGAAGAACAGUGAGAAGGCUACAACAGAGGAGAGUAGCUUGAGGAUGGGGAUUUGAGAGCAACUCAGAAGUCAAUGACAAGAUUUGGUGAUGAAUUGGCCAUAGGGAAUGUGAGAAUGAUGUCAAGGAUGACUUUUUUUUUUUUUUUUUGAGACAGAGUCUCACUGUCUACCAGGCUGGAGUACAGUGGCACGAUCUCGGCUCACUGCAAGCUCCACCUACCGGGUUCAUGCCAUUCUCCUGCCUCAGCCUCCCGAGUAGCUGGGACUACAGGCACCUGCCACCAUGCCCGGCUAAUUUUUUGUAUUUUUAGUAGAGAUGGGGUUUCACCGUGUUAGCCAGGAUGGUCUCGAUCUCCUGACCUCAUGAUCUGCCCACCUCGGCCUCCCAAAGUGCUGGGAUUACAGGCAUGAGCCACAGCGCCUGGCCUUGUUUUUUUUUUUUUUUUUUUUUUUUUAGAAACAGGGUCUUGCUCUGUUGCCUAGGCUGGAAUGCAGUGGUGCAAUCAUGGCUCACUUUAACCUCGAACUCCUGGGCUCAAGUGGUCCUACUGCCUCAGCUUCCCAAGUAGCUGGUAUCAUGUCCAGCUAAUUUUUAAUUUUUUUUUUUUUUUUUUGGUAGAGAUGAGGUCUUGCUAUGUUGCUCAGGCUGGUUUUGAGUUCCUGGCCUCAAGCAGUCCUCUUGCCUUGGCCUCUCAAAGUGCUAGGAUUACAGGUGUGAGCCACCACACAUGGCCAAGGAUGACUAAAGUUUCUAAUUUGUGCAUUAAUGGGUGUAGUGGCAUUUACUCAGCUAUGGAACACUGGAAAGGU
This is a long non-coding RNA of Macaca fascicularis (crab-eating macaque), 1797 nucleotides long. NCBI's taxonomy places the organism in Eukaryota, Metazoa, Chordata, Mammalia, Primates, Cercopithecidae. The record is from Ensembl.